GGGGGGUUUGUGGGGUGAGGGGUGGUGGUGCCCUACUAUAGUUUUAUUAAUCCUUUUAUGCAUGCGUGGACGAAUGAUGUUACAUGUUUAGGGACGCAAACAUGCUACUGGGGCAAAAUUGUGGACCCCAAAUAUAUAUUGCUUAUACGGAUCUUGUGAUAAGGACUCUGGUUUUUGAAUUUGAGAAGGACACAAUUAUCUUUGGUGUUAUGCUUAUUGAAAUUAUAUGUAGAUUGAUUUUCUUGGAUUCUCUUCUCGUUCAGGGUUGGUUUUGAUCUCCUCUUCUCCUUGUGGUCUAUAACUCGCUUUAUCUGCAUGAGUAUAUAUUUUGUUUGUGUGAGAUUUCGUGUUUAUGGCUUUUUUCUAUGUUAGCUUAUUGUGUUCUAUCAAUCUUGGCAGCGUGCUUCCUGUUUAGGGAGGC
RNAcentral lists this unclassified non-coding RNA (421 nucleotides) under Hevea brasiliensis (rubber tree). Lineage: Eukaryota; Viridiplantae; Streptophyta; Magnoliopsida; Malpighiales; Euphorbiaceae. The record is from RNAcentral.